GACGAACGCUGGCGGCGUGCCUAAUACAUGCAAGUAGAACGCUGAAGCUUGGUGCUUGCACCGAGCGGAUGAGUUGCGAACGGGUGAGUAACGCGUAGGUAACCUGCCUGGUAGUGGGGGAUAACUAUUGGAAACGAUAGCUAAUACCGCAUAAGAGUAGAUGUUGCAUGACAUUUGCUUAAAAGGUGCAAUUGCAUCACUACCAGAUGGACCUGCGUUGUAUUAGCUAGUUGGUGAGGUAACGGCUCACCAAGGCAACGAUACAUAGCCGACCUGAGAGGGUGAUCGGCCACACUGGGACUGAGACACGGCCCAGACUCCUACGGGAGGCAGCAGUAGGGAAUCUUCGGCAAUGGACGGAAGUCUGACCGAGCAACGCCGCGUGAGUGAAGAAGGUUUUCGGAUCGUAAAGCUCUGUUGUAAGAGAAGAACGAGUGUGAGAGUGGAAAGUUCACACUGUGAC
This 463-nucleotide ribosomal RNA is filed under the name Streptococcus sp. oral taxon C08. Its description in RNAcentral is "bacterial SSU rRNA". It matches the Rfam family "Bacterial small subunit ribosomal RNA", at positions 28 to 473 of the family's 1533-position model. Lineage: Bacteria; Bacillati; Bacillota; Bacilli; Lactobacillales; Streptococcaceae. The record is from RNAcentral.